RNAcentral lists this ribosomal RNA (303 nucleotides) under uncultured bacterium. RNAcentral describes it as "partial 16S ribosomal RNA". It matches the Rfam family "Bacterial small subunit ribosomal RNA", at positions 507 to 808 of the family's 1533-position model. The record is from RNAcentral.
AGCAGUAGCCGCGGGAAAACGUAGGGUGCGAGCGUUAAUCGGAAUUACUGGGCGUAAAGCGUGCGCAGGCGGUUAUAUAAGACAGAUGUGAAAUCCCCGGGCUCAACCUGGGACCUGCAUUUGUGACUGUAUAGCUAGAGUACGGUAGAGGGGGAUGAAUUCCGCGUGUAGCAGUGAAAUGCGUAGAUAUGCGGAGGAACACCGAUGGCGAAGGCAAUCCCAUGGACCUGUACUGACGCUCAUGCACGAAAGCGUGGGGAGCAAACAGGAUUAGAUACCCCAGUAGUCCCUGUCUCUUAUACA